AGAGUUUGAUCAUGGCUCAGAUUGAACGCUGGCGGCAGGCCUAACACAUGCAAGUCGAACGGUAACAGGAAGCAGCUUGCUGCUUUGCUGACGAGUGGCGGACGGGUGAGUAAUGUCUGGGAAACUGCCUGAUGGAGGGGGAUAACUACUGGAAACGGUAGCUAAUACCGCAUAACGUCGCAAGACCAAAGAGGGGGACCUUAGGGCCUCUUGCCAUCGGAUGUGCCCAGAUGGGAUUAGCUAGUAGGUGGGGUAACGGCUCACCUAGGCGACGAUCCCUAGCUGGUCUGAGAGGAUGACCAGCCACACUGGAACUGAGACACGGUCCAGACUCCUACGGGAGGCAGCAGUGGGGAAUAUUGCACAAUGGGCGCAAGCCUGAUGCAGCCAUGCCGCGUGUAUGAAGAAGGCCUUCGGGUUGUAAAGUACUUUCAGCGGGGAGGAAGGGAGUAAAGUUAAUACCUUUGCUCAUUGACGUUACCCGCAGAAGAAGCACCGGCUAACUCCGUGCCAGCAGCCGCGGUGAUACGGAGGGUGCAAGCGUUAAUCGGAAUUACUGGGCGUAAAGCGCACGCAGGCGGUUUGUUAAGUCAGAUGUGAAAUCCCCGGGCUCAACCUGGGAACUGCAUCUGAUACUGGCAAGCUUGAGUCUCGUAGAGGGGGGUAGAAUUCCAGGUGUAGCGGUGAAAUGCGUAGAGAUCUGGAGGAAUACCGGUGGCGAAGGCGGCCCCCUGGACGAAGACUGACGCUCGGGUGCGAAAGCUUGGGGAGCAAACAGGAUUAGAUACCCCGGUAGUCCA
RNAcentral lists this ribosomal RNA (800 nucleotides) under uncultured bacterium. RNAcentral describes it as "bacterial SSU rRNA". It matches the Rfam family "Bacterial small subunit ribosomal RNA", at positions 8 to 797 of the family's 1533-position model. The record is from RNAcentral.